AGCGAACGCUGGCGGCAGGCCUAACACAUGCAAGUCGAACGGAUCCUUCGGGAUUAGUGGCGGACGGGUGAGUAACACGUGGGAACGUGCCCUUUGGUUCGGAACAACUCAGGGAAACUUGAGCUAACACCGGAUGUGCCCUUCGGGGGAAAGAUUUAUCGCCAUUGGAGCGGCCCGCGUCUGAUUAGCUAGUUGGUGAGGUAAAGGCUCACCAAGGCGACGAUCAGUAGCUGGUCUGAGAGGAUGAUCAGCCACAUUGGGACUGAGACACGGCCCAAACUCCUACGGGAGGCAGCAGUGGGGAAUCUUGCGCAAUGGGCGAAAGCCUGACGCAGCCAUGCCGCGUGAUGAUGAAGGUCUUAGGAUUGUAAAAUUCUUUCACCGGGGACGAUAAUGACGGUACCCGGAGAAGAAGCCCCGGCUAACUUCGUGCCAGCCGCCGCGGUAA
Molecule: ribosomal RNA, 448 nt
Filed under: uncultured bacterium
Lineage: Bacteria
Description: partial 16S ribosomal RNA
Rfam family: Bacterial small subunit ribosomal RNA
Source: RNAcentral